UUAAGCGACUAAGCGUACACGGUGGAUGCCCUGGCAGUCAGAGGCGAUGAAGGGCGUGCUAAUCUGCGAUAAGCGCCGGUAAGGUGAUAUGAACCGUUAUAACCGGCGAUACCCGAAUGGGGAAACCCAGUGUGACUCGUCACACUAUCAUUAACUGAAUCCAUAGGUUAAUGAGGCGAACCGGGGGAACUGAAACAUCUAAGUACCCCGAGGAAAAGAAAUCAACCGAGAUUCCCCCAGUAGCGGCGAGCGAACGGGGAGGAGCCCAGAGCCUGAAUCAGCAUGUGUGUUAGUGGAAGCGUCUGGAAAGGCGCGCGAUACAGGGUGACAGCCCCGUACACAAAAGCGCAUGUGCUGUGAGCUCGAUGAGUAGGGCGGGACACGUGGUAUCCUGUCUGAAUAUGGGGGGACCAUCCUCCAAGGCUAAAUACUCCUGACUGACCGAUAGUGAACCAGUACCGUGAGGGAAAGGCGAAAAGAACCCCGGCGAGGGGAGUGAAAAAGAACCUGAAACCGUGUACGUACAAGCAGUGGGAGCACAGGUUUACCUGUGUGACUGCGUACCUUUUGUAUAAUGGGUCAGCGACUUAUAUUCUGUAGCAAGGUUAACCGAAUAGGGGAGCCGGAGGGAAACCGAGUCUUAAUUGGGCGUUAAGUUGCAGGGUAUAGACCCGAAACCCGGUGAUCUAGCCAUGGGCAGGUUGAAGGUUGGGUAACACUAACUGGAGGACCGAACCGACUAAUGUUGAAAAAUUAGCGGAUGACCUGUGGCUGGGGGUGAAAGGCCAAUCAAACCGGGAGAUAGCUGGUUCUCCCCGAAAGCUAUUUAGGUAGCGCCUCGUGAAUUCAUCUCCGGGGGUAGAGCACUGUUUCGGCUAGGGGGCCAUCCCGGCUUACCAACCCGAUGCAAACUGCGAAUACCGGAGAAUGUUAUCACGGGAGACACACGGCGGGUGCUAACGUCCGUCGUGAAGAGGGAAACAACCCAGACCGCCAGCUAAGGUCCCAAAGUCAUGGUUAAGUGGGAAACGAUGUGGGAAGGCCCAGACAGCCAGGAUGUUGGCUUAGAAGCAGCCAUCAUUUAAAGAAAGCGUAAUAGCUCACUGGUCGAGUCGGCCUGCGCGGAAGAUGUAACGGGGCUAAACCAUGCACCGAAGCUGCGGCAGCGNNNNNNNNNNNNNNNNNNNNNNNNNNNNNNNUGCUGGAGGUAUCAGAAGUGCGAAUGCUGACAUAAGUAACGAUAAAGCGGGUGAAAAGCCCGCUCGCCGGAAGACCAAGGGUUCCUGUCCAACGUUAAUCGGGGCAGGGUGAGUCGACCCCUAAGGCGAGGCCGAAAGGCGUAGUCGAUGGGAAACGGGUUAAUAUUCCCGUACUUGGUGUUACUGCGAAGGGGGGACGGAGAAGGCUAUGUUGGCCGGGCGACGGUUGUCCCGGUUUAAGCGUGUAGGUGUGUGUUCCUGGUAAAUCCGGUUCACUUUAACACUGAGGCGUGACGACGAGGCACUACGGUGCUGAAGCAACAAAUGCCCUGCUU
Molecule: ribosomal RNA, 1534 nt
Filed under: Salmonella enterica subsp. enterica serovar Typhimurium
Lineage: Bacteria; Pseudomonadati; Pseudomonadota; Gammaproteobacteria; Enterobacterales; Enterobacteriaceae
Description: partial 23S ribosomal RNA
Rfam family: Bacterial large subunit ribosomal RNA
Source: RNAcentral